GAAUGGCAGAGAGGCACCGGUAUUCCGGCAAAUCCCAUCUCUCCUGCCCCAGUUUCGGCGCGCAAGCCGUUCCCCUUCGUGAGUUCUCCCCAGCGUCCGAAUCGCAGACGGGUUGUGAGGCCGAGGUGGCGGAGGAAAGGAGACUGCCGUAAGGAUCGGUAUUCGAGAAUGCCUAGCUAAUAACCAUCGGGAUCUGGCCCCGACCUCUGGAUCUCAUUUCACCCAUCUGUCGCGUGUCGUCGUUCCCCGACCCCCUCCCCACCCGCCAGCUCUAGGUAAACCCAGGCCUUCUAUCUAAACUCUGUGGCUGCCUCUUCCCUCGUGCCCUCUCUCUCCUCCCACUUAUCCUUCAAAAUCGCGUUCAUAAAUCCCGUCAUCCCUGUAGCCAUCCUGAAUUGCCCUGGAAUUAGUUGGCUCCCAAUUGGGAGCCUGUAAGCCCGUUGGCUGCCUUCAUUAUUGCAAUUAUCAUACCUGUAUUGGAAUCUGUGACCCAUCUGGGUGGAGGUAUUUAGGACAGUGAUUUAAGAUCUUUGCAUUCCCCGAAGUCUAGCCCUGAGUAGGCAUCAAGUAUUUGCUAAAUGAAGGAAUGUCUGAACCAGUUGUUGAAAGCAGUAGCUCUACCACCUCAGUUAACAGAUUCUCCUGGAAGUGACCCUACUAACAAUUUCUAGUUUAUCAGAUUUGCUUCAGAAGCCAUGCUCAGAGUGCUUGAUUAAUAUGUGUUUUAAGCAAUAGGGGUGAAGAAAGCUUUCCUUAUUCAAAUUUAGGCUACUGAAAAGGAAAGCAGGAGGGACAGAGAAAAGAAACCACUGACACCAGAGAUUUAAUUGUCACACUUUUAUUAAGGAAACUUCCCCAUAAUAAGUGAAGAGGUAGUUCAUAGUAUGUCUAACAUACAACAGAUUUAGAACAGCUAUUCACCAGCUGAAAUAAAAUAUUCUGGUUUGUUUGUUUAGGACAGUAUUUUAGAAGUGGUGACAUUGGUCACCCUCCAUUUAUAGAUCUUCUAAUAAAGAAACUAAAACAAAACCACAUCUGAUUUACCUCAGAGCCACUUCAGUUUGGAGUUUGUCUUUAAAAUUAAAUAAUAAAUAAAUAACGGUGACACACAGUAAUUUUUUAAAAACCAAACUAUGGUAAAGAGAGUCCUUUUUAAUUAAUCUGGGGAUCCAUAAAAUAUAAAUGCAGAAUGACUAAGGUUUUAAAAAAUCUUCGUCCUCUAUAAGAAUACAACUAGUUUUGAAAGUCAUCUUCCCUUAUAAAAUGUAUUUGAUAUCAGAAGUUGACCACUUUGCAAUACAAUCUAAGAAACAUAUAUAAACAAAGGAGAAAAGUCAAGUCCCACCAAAACUAAGAAAAUGUCUCA
Molecule: long non-coding RNA, 1366 nt
Organism: Ailuropoda melanoleuca (giant panda)
Lineage: Eukaryota; Metazoa; Chordata; Mammalia; Carnivora; Ursidae
Exons: 2
Source: RefSeq, a predicted model, not a curated record